GGGGAUGUAAGGUUUCGACAAGGAUGUUGGACUGGUGAAAGCGGGUCGAGGACUGAUACGAUUGCUCGAAAAAACAGAUGUAUCGAAAAAUAAUCGCUAAAACCGAUUACAAAGCUUUACCGCUAGCUGCGUAAAGCCGCUUCUGAAGUAACUCACCUUCAGGUCUUGAGAGGCGCCGCUUAUGAAGGUAAGUUGGGAUUCACUCCGAUAAAAUUCCAACUGAUUAAUCGGAUAGAAAUCGAAUGGUUUGUUUGUUCGAAGUUCGAUUUCGAAAGACUCGCAAAUAAACUGCACCCGGAGAACAGCUAGAAAGGCUUCCUUGGAUCCGAGUUCAAUUCUCGGCAUCUCCACAA
Molecule: transfer-messenger RNA, 353 nt
Filed under: Candidatus Servula neotermitis
Lineage: Bacteria; Bacillati; Actinomycetota; Actinomycetes; Bifidobacteriales; Bifidobacteriaceae
Rfam family: transfer-messenger RNA
About the family: Bacterial tmRNA, also known as 10Sa RNA or SsrA, is named for its dual tRNA and mRNA-like properties. Its role is to liberate the mRNA from a stalled ribosome.
Source: RNAcentral